GGCAAGUGAAAACUGGAAAGCGAAUUGUGAAACCCGUUUGGCGACGGCGUCUGAAAAGGGACGGCCGGAACGGCUCUCCCUCUCUGUCCGUGCGCCCGCCCCGGCGACGGCUCCCCGGCUGGCGUCGAGUCCUCCCAGCGGCUGGCGGCUCCUACCGGCAGCGAGGUGAAACCAGUUGGUUAAGUACCAGCUGACGAUGGAUUUCAUGGCAUUGUUCUGCCAGCUGAAAAUGGAGGCAUGUGGCAGAGUGUGUACUUACGGGAUCUGUACAUGCUCAAAGUCCUCCUCACUCGACCUGAUGACGACCUCGCGUCCGGCCUUGUGGAGCAGGUAGCAUAAUACUUGAUCCAAAUCAGGCAUUGCUAUCACUUUCAGCUUCUUAAGUUCCUUCAGGUGCUGCAAUCCUUGCGGAAGCGCCUUCAGCUUGGUGCACUUGCAGAGAGUUAGUAUCCUGAGCUUCGGCAUGGCGCCAUCCUCCAAUAUCCACUCCUCAAUAUCCAGAUCGUGGAGCACCAAAUUGUGCAGGUCUGGAAACCCACCAGAAGGGCAGGUCAUGGUCGCGCCAGUGUAUGACUUGACCCCUAUUUCCAACACAUUCAGGAACGUCAGCCAGCUCCCAAGUGUCGGCAUGGGGUCUUCAUCAUUCAGCAGAUUAGGACAGCUGAUUUUCAGCCGUCUCAGGUUGUGCGGGAGGAGGUGCAGAUCAGGAAGAUGCAGGUCGUUGGGCACCCCAAACUCGUCCUCGCACGCCCCGACAAUUUCCAGCUGCUUGACGCUCCGGUAGUGCUUCCCAAAGCACCAGGAGGGAUUUUCUUCCAUUCUGUCAGUUGCUCCUUCCCAUUGCUUUGGGGUGUUGGCUGCCAGGAAUAUGAAAAGUGACUUCAGGUUGCUCUGCAUGUUCGUCUUCCACAUGGACCAUGACUCGACCUUGUAGAUAUGGAUAUGCUUCAGUGUUGAAAUGCUCAAGAGAUCAAUAGGGAGCGCUUCCACUGUGGCAUCCCUUGCAUCAAAAGUUUGCAAGUUUGUGAGAUUACUGACGGCAGCAGGAAGUACAUAUGUGCCACCUUUCAAGCCAAGGUACCUCAGAUGUACCAUCUGGCCGAUCUCUGCAGGUAGCUGCCAUCUCCCUCUCAUGCCAUCAAAGUAGAGUACCCGCAGGUAAUUCAAGCCUCGGAAAGAGAAGACGUCCUUUUCUAGCCGAGCUGCAUUGAAGAUCAGCAAGGUGUGCAGAUUUGGCAUAGCAACACCGACCUUCACGCAAACGGAGUCGUAGAGAACCACCCUGUAAGCUCUCAUUUCAUUGGAAUAUGAGGUCUCCACUUCAUCUCUGGAACUGCAGUCUUUCAAGAAGCCUUCUCUUCGAGCUCGCCCAAUUCCCCAGUCGCGCAACACGUCAUGUACCUUAACGGCCCUGAUGCACCUGGAGCUCUUCUUUUCAAUUAGGAUCAAGCAGCGCUGGGCCAGUUCUUCCACAUACCCGAGCGCAGUUUCUUCAAGGGAGCGUCCACGCACGUUUGAUAUGAAACCCUCUGAAAUCCACAACUUCGUCAGAAGGCCAACCGGGACUGCGUAGUCUUCUGGGAAUGAUGUGAUGUACAAAAAGCAUGCCUUCAGAUUGCUUGGCAGAUCAUAGUAACUUAGGUCCAGUAUGGCUCUGAUGUCACCUUCAUUCUUCAUUGUGUCCCAGUUUACGCUAGCAACCAUUCUUCUCCACUCGGUGAUCCUGAGAUUCUUUGAAAGGAAACCUCCCAUGACUACAAUUGCAAGAGGCAAGCCAUUGCAUUUUAAUGCAAGUACCUUGCCUAGUUCUCUGAAGCUAUCCAGAUCAUCUCUGCCAUGGACGACAUAGGAAGGGAAUGCCUUUCUGUUGAAUAACUCUAUACUUUCGUCGUCGUUAAGGAGCUUGACCUGCUGGAUUAUUUUUCUUGCGUUGGGGUGAUUGGAAACUGCUGAGUUGCGAGUUGUCAGAACAAUUCUGCUUCCAUUUUUCACAUCAGGAAAGGCAGCUUGGACCAUAUCCCAGUCUUUCAUUUUCCAGACAUCAUCUAAGACUACAAGUGCACCAUAGACCGAAAAUUGCUGUGAGAUGCAUAUCCAUACGGAGGAGUUGAAAUGCUUUUUGGCGACAAGAUUGUAGACCUUCCUGGCAAUGGUUGAUUUCCCUGAGCCCCCUGGACCAACAAGGGAGACGACAGUGAGGUCCUUGUUCUCCAAGUCAAGCAGUUGAUCCUUGACCUGGUUGAUUUCACUGUCAAAGCCAAUGACAUCAACCUCAUCCCCGAAAUCCGGAAGCAUCAGUCUCCUAGAGCGUAGAGUCUCGUUCUCAUCCAUACUGUAUCUUGUCUCAGUCAGGCUAGUUCUCUGAAUGUUAUACUUUUCAAAUUCUUUGAAGAUCUUAUUAACUCUUGCUGUCACCUGGUCAAUUCUUUUUCCGACGCUGUGCAGGCGCUUGCAGUGGACCGGGUAAUAGGCGCCCUUGGAUAUGGCGCCGAGGAGGGACGGCGGUCUGUUGUUCUCCCUGGCCAAGAUGUUGGCCGUGUCGAUGAUGAUCUCGACGCUGUAGGCGACGUCCCUGACCUCCGACACCAGUUGGCUGAGCAUCUCAUUCUCGCCCCUCUCCAUCCUCGCGUCGGCGUCCCUGAGGAAGCACUGCAUGCGCUUGAGCUCGGACUUGAGGGCCUCCACCUUGGCAGGAACCUGGCCCAGAGAAGCGACUUCUUGGAUCACGGUGGCGCCUGCCCGCUGCAGCACAGCAGCGACCGCGUGUUCGGCCAUGUCGUGUGAUCUCUGCGUUAUAAAGCACAAGGUCAUGCAACUUACAUAUGGUCCGAGAGUCUCUAAGAGGAGAAGUGGAUCCAAAGGAGCAACCAUGUGGCCUCAUGUGGUAAGGAGGGACACAAAUGGAUGCGUGGGACGGUUCAGACUGAGGCGGGGCAAGAUUUAUAAACUGAAGUCGACACAACAAGAAGAUGAAGAGCAUGAGGGGCUCGCGUACCUGAAUCCGCUGGCUAUCCGGCGAGGAGAGGACGACGGCAAUGGGUUGUGCUGGAUCGGGGUCGUUGUGCGUGGAGGAAGCCGCGUGGUUUGUUGGAUCAUCACCCGAACAUUAUUCUCAAGUCAGCUCGUGCUGCUGCGUCAGGGACAGUGACAGGGAGAUGAUUGUGGUUUCAAUACCAUGAUGGGCGUGGACGUUUGACCCGGUGUCUCCGGCCGGACGAGUUCAUGGCUUGCCCUCACCCUUGUCAGUUUGUGUAGCUCGUUUUUUUGUUCCAACACACUCUGGCUUUGCGGUUGGAGGCGCUAUCUGUGAUGUGGGCCAUAACGCGAACUAGCGAGUGUCCACCCACCCAAGCUCGCUCGUCGUUUCGUUUGGUUCCAAAAUACAAGCCUUUUUAAAGAUUUCAAUAAAAGACUACACAUGGAGCAGAA
Long non-coding RNA from Triticum aestivum (bread wheat), 3429 nucleotides. RefSeq lists it as uncharacterized. The record is from RefSeq and is a predicted model, not a curated record. Lineage: Eukaryota; Viridiplantae; Streptophyta; Magnoliopsida; Poales; Poaceae. The transcript has 4 exons.